This 2004-nucleotide ribosomal RNA is filed under the name Staphylococcus pseudintermedius. RNAcentral's name for it is "partial 23S ribosomal RNA". It matches the Rfam family "Bacterial large subunit ribosomal RNA", at positions 815 to 2821 of the family's 2925-position model. Lineage: Bacteria; Bacillati; Bacillota; Bacilli; Caryophanales; Staphylococcaceae. The record is from RNAcentral.
GUAGCGGAGAAAUUCCAAUCGAACUUGGAGAUAGCUGGUUCUCUCCGAAAUAGCUUUAGGGCUAGCCUCAAGUGAUGAUUAUUGGAGGUAGAGCACUGUUUGGACGAGGGGCCCCUCUCGGGUUACCGAAUUCAGACAAACUCCGAAUGCCAAAUAAUUUAACUUGGGAGUCAGAAUGUGGGUGAUAAGGUCCAUAUUCGAAAGGGAAACAGCCCAGACCACCAGCUAAGGUCCCAAAAUAUAUGUUAAGUGGAAAAGGAUGUGGCGUUGCCCAGACAACUAGGAUGUUGGCUUAGAAGCAGCCAUCAUUUAAAGAGUGCGUAAUAGCUCACUAGUCGAGUGACACUGCGCCGAAAAUGUACCGGGGCUAAACAUAUUACCGAAGCUGUGGAUUGUCCUUUGGACAAUGGUAGGAGAGCGUUCUAAGGGCGUUGAAGCAUGAUCGCAAGGACAUGUGGAGCGCUUAGAAGUGAGAAUGCCGGUGUGAGUAGCGAAAGACGGGUGAGAAUCCCGUCCACCGAUUGACUAAGGUUUCCAGAGGAAGGCUCGUCCGCUCUGGGUUAGUCGGGUCCUAAGCUGAGGCCGACAGGCGUAGGCGAUGGAUAACAGGUUGAUAUUCCUGUACCACCAUUAUUCGUUUUAAGCGAUGGGGGGACGCAGUAGGAUAGGCGAAGCGUGCUGUUGGAGUGCACGUCCAAGCAGUGAGAUUGAGUGUUAGGCAAAUCCGGCACUCUUAAGAUUGAGCUGUGAUGGGGAGAGGAACUUGUUCCUCGAGUCGUUGAUUUCACACUGCCGAGAAAAGCCUCUAGCUAGAAUAACGGUGCCCGUACCGCAAACCGACACAGGUAGUCAAGAUGAGAAUUCUAAGGUGAGCGAGCGAACUCUCGUUAAGGAACUCGGCAAAAUGACCCCGUAACUUCGGGAGAAGGGGUGCUCUUUGAGGUUCACGCUUCGAAGAGCCGCAGUGAAUAGGCCCAAGCGACUGUUUAUCAAAAACACAGGUCUCUGCUAAACCGUAAGGUGACGUAUAGGGGCUGACGCCUGCCCGGUGCUGGAAGGUUAAGAGGAGUGGUUAGCGCAAGCGAAGCUACGAAUCGAAGCCCCAGUAAACGGCGGCCGUAACUAUAACGGUCCUAAGGUAGCGAAAUUCCUUGUCGGGUAAGUUCCGACCCGCACGAAAGGCGUAACGAUUUGGGCACUGUCUCAACGAGAGACUCGGUGAAAUCAUAGUACCGGUGAAGAUGCCGGUUACCCGCGACAGGACGGAAAGACCCCGUGGAGCUUUACUGUAGCCUGAUAUUGAAAUUCGGUACAGUUUGUACAGGAUAGGUAGGAGCCUUAGAAGCGUGAGCGCUAGCUUACGUGGAGGCAUUGGUGGGAUACUACCCUAAUUGUAUUGGAUUUCUAACCCGCAGCACUUAUCGUGCUGGGAGACAGUGUCAGGCGGGCAGUUUGACUGGGGCGGUCGCCUCCUAAAGAGUAACGGAGGCGCUCAAAGGUUCCCUCAGAAUGGUUGGAAAUCAUUCAUAGAGUGUAAAGGCAUAAGGGAGCUUGACUGCGAGACCUACAAGUCGAGCAGGGUCGAAAGACGGACUUAGUGAUCCGGUGGUUCCGCAUGGAAGGGCCAUCGCUCAACGGAUAAAAGCUACCCCGGGGAUAACAGGCUUAUCUCCCCCAAGAGUUCACAUCGACGGGGAGGUUUGGCACCUCGAUGUCGGCUCAUCGCAUCCUGGGGCUGUAGUCGGUCCCAAGGGUUGGGCUGUUCGCCCAUUAAAGCGGUACGCGAGCUGGGUUCAGAACGUCGUGAGACAGUUCGGUCCCUAUCCGUCGUGGGCGUAGGAAAUUUGAGAGGAGCUGUCCUUAGUACGAGAGGACCGGGAUGGACAUACCUCUGGUGUACCAGUUGUCGUGCCAACGGCAUAGCUGGGUAGCUAUGUAUGGACGGGAUAAGUGCUGAAAGCAUCUAAGCAUGAAGCCCCCCUCGAGAUGAGAUUUCCCAACUUC